UUUCCGUAGGUGAACCUGCGGAAGGAUCAUUAAUGAGGGCGUGUGGGCUAAUAUCCCCGCGAACCCUAAUCCUUUGUUUACUACCCCGUAGUGGUUUUUUCUUGGGCCCGGUAUGGAUUUUUUUUUUAAAAAAAAAGAAUCUUUGUGAUGUCGCCUAAAAUGGUUGCCACAGCGCCCCCCAAAAAAACAAAACCAGAUCAAAAAAAAUUCUAAUUCAUUAUUGAUGUCUGAAGCAAAAUUUAAACAAGCAAAACUUUCAACAACGGAUCUCUUGGUUCCGGCAUCGAUGAAGAACGCAGCGAAAUGCGAUAAGUAAUGUGGACCGCAGUACUCAGCGACUCAUCGAAUCUUUGAACGCACAUUGCGCCCCUUGGUAUCACCAAAGGGCACACCUGUCCGAGCGUCAUCAUACAUCGUAUCAGGCCAAGGGCCCGGCUUGCAUUGGGCUUUGUCUACUUUAUGUAGAAGUCUAAAAGUUAGUGGCGGUUAAGUUAGGCAUUCCAGCGUAGUAGUUAUAUUAGCUGUUGAAAUGUCUUUCACUUAAUAGUCAACACACCUCCAUGGUUUCUGCUGGCAGAGAUCUGGUUAGAUUUUAUCAAUUAUUGACCUCGGAUCAGGUGAGGAUACCCGCUGAAU
This 636-nucleotide unclassified non-coding RNA is filed under the name Peltigera didactyla. RNAcentral describes it as "sequence contains ITS1, 5.8S rRNA gene and ITS2". The stretch from base 252 to 406 matches the Rfam family "5.8S ribosomal RNA". The record is from RNAcentral. Lineage: Eukaryota; Fungi; Ascomycota; Lecanoromycetes; Peltigerales; Peltigeraceae.